Anneissia japonica is the source of this 7949-nucleotide long non-coding RNA. RefSeq lists it as uncharacterized. Lineage: Eukaryota; Metazoa; Echinodermata; Crinoidea; Comatulida; Comatulidae. The transcript is spliced from 2 exons. The record is from RefSeq and is a predicted model, not a curated record.
UGUUGCGCUAUUUAUAUUGGUGGUUUUUGUAUUAAUUUUUUUACAGCAUUGAUUGAAGUAGCUGGCGAAAUCAUCGUAAAUAAACCCCUGGGUUGUGUUAAGAGAUGCGUUAUCUAUCGAGUAGAUAUAAUGUGGAUUCUUCUUCCCAGUAUGCAUUACUUUGCAUUUAGACUUAAUGAAUUCAAGUAACCACUUCUUACUCCAUUGAACCAGUUUACAUAGAUCUUGCUGAAGAGUAUCUCUAUCACUAAGCGAGUCAAUCUUUCUGAAAAUCUUGGCAUCAUCUGCAAAUAAUUUUCCAUCGGAUUCAAUUCCUUCGAAUAAAUCAUUAAUGUAGACCAGAAAUAAAACUGAUGCAGUCACUGUGCCUUGUGGGACGCCACUGGAUACAGGCAACCAUCUUGAAGCAGAACCUUUAAUAGAUACACACUGCCUUCUAUUCUUUAAGAAUUCACUUAUCCAGUUCAAAAUGUUACCUUUGAUGCCAUAAGACUUCAGUUUAGAUUUCAACCUACCAUGUGGAACCGUGUCAAACGCCUUUCGGCAGUCUAAAUAUAUCACGUCCAUAGGAUGCUUAUCGGCAAGAGAAUUUUCAACUUCACGAAAAAAUUUUAGUAGUUGAGUAAGACAAAAAACGUUUUCUUCAAAAAUUGAAGCAAAAACAACCACUCUACAUUGUAUUGUAACACUUUCAUUUUCAUAAACAUCUCAAUUAUUGUUUUUAAAGGAUUUAAACUAACAAUAUUUCAUAAAAUACAGUUAAGAGUGAAUUUUAAGGUGUUUUUUUUAAAGUAAUACCAGUACCAGGAUGUAUAAGAAGAGAAGUACUGUGAACUACUGCAAUUGGCAUGGAAGGCAACAUAUCUAUAAGUGUACAAUGGAUAUUCUAUACAAAAGAUAGACAAUAUUUAAAAAAUAUAAUAUGUAUAUACCUAUACCUAAUGAAGGGUGAUACCCCAAAACGUUUGUAUGUUUAUAAAAAUUAUUUUAAUAAUAUUAAUAAUAAUAAUAAAGUAAGAACUUAUACAGCGCCAUUUAAAAAACCGAAGUAAUUAUCAGUGGCGCUUCAUGUUAUUGUUGGAAUAAGUGCAUUUUGAGAACAUUAGACACUUCUCUUGAGUUUUUAUUUAUAAUAGUAUAAUACUUAUUAAAAUACUUAAUACAAAAGUUGCAGUGAAUUAAAAACUGAUGGAGACAAGGGUGCCAAACUGCAGAAAUUGGCAUGACAUUGAUACAUCAUCAUUCUUGAUAGGAGAUGGUGGUGCUUUCUUUCCUUCGUCUAGCUGGAAAAUUAAUAAACAAAUUGUUAAGAUUUUAUAUUCAAAUAAUAUUAUACAAUAUUAAACGAAGACAUACAGCUGGACUUGUUAUGAAUAUGAUUAUCACUGUAUAUUUUUAUAGCCUUCAACACAGCACUACAUAGUAGUUAGUAGUACAGUAGUAGCAGCUCAGUAGGCCAAGUACAGUAGUGUGGUAUUUCGCAUCAAUCAUCAUCCUCAAACUAGCUUGCAGCUAGCGUAGGCCUGUGUACAGCAGGUCUGUACAUCUUGGAUACUAUACUUAGCCUGAUGAAACACUAUUUGAGUCAUAGGCUAGUGUGUAUAACUAGAGAUGUAGAAAUUAGAAUAGGCCUAAGGCCUAGGCCUCUAGGCCUACUCCAUUAAUUCGGAGGGUUGCCAAAGUGCGAGCCAGCGAGGCAUGCAAUUCGUGUGAGCCAUGACGGUAAUUCGUGCGGGACGUGUACCAACAGUACGAGUCAUGCGAGGCACACAAAAACCCACGCUUCUUCCUAACAAUUGUACAAUUUAUAAAACAGUAAUAAUAAUGAAUGAAUUAACUAAUUUUAGCAUAAUUAUUUUGAAGUUGAAAAGACAAUUUCAAGCUGUCAUUGUUUUCAUAUGGGACCUUCCUCCUUUCAACUUGGCUAGGCUUAGCUAGGCUAGGCAUAAUAGUACAGUCGACCUUCCCAUUUACGUACACCUUGGGCUGAAAGCAGUUCGUAAUUGAGAAAAUUCGUAAUUGAGAAGUUUGGAAGAAUAGCGCCCUCAACUUUAAAAAUAGGGCUACAAAAAGUUGUAGCCUAUAACUAGGCCUUCAUGCCUACCAAUAUCUAGGCAUAAUUUUGCAUUUAAGUGUUCAAUAAACAUUUAUAGAAAUCGUUGAAGAAUCAAUUAAAUGUUAAUGCAAGGCAAACUAAUAUAAUAAAUGUCGAUUCAUAAUAGGCUAAGGAAAUCGUUCCAUGGAUAGACCGACCUAAUCUUCCAUGUCACUAUAGGCUGACUGUUGAACAUAAAGUGUGGUGGUUUAGCCAAGGUUUAGCUGGGGCUAGCAGCAGCUCUCUGCUAACUAUAGCUAGGCCUCUGUUCGUAAUUUAUAGCAAAUUAGUCAACAAACAUUGAUAUAAUUUGUAUUAAAAGUACUGGGCUUAAAUAUUUAUUUAAGUCAAGGUAUUUUUGUAUAAAUUAAAAAAAGAAACCUUCCUAUUUUUUCGACCUUCCUGACUUCCAAACAUGUGGUUUUGGUACCUGUAGCUUUGAAUGAUGGGUAAUUGCUGAUGUCAUCUUCUAAAAAUAGAGCAGCUUGCUAAUCGUUUUUGUUUUUUUUUUGACAGUGAAAAACAAAUAAUUAUUAAUACAUAUGCUUAUUGAAUAUCCGAACAGUGAUUUAUUCUUAAAAGAAUAAAAGGUUGAUGUUACCAUACAUUUAUACUCGGACUAGCUGAUUUGAUUUACAGUGCAUGACCGCAGUUAACCAUAGACAGAGUAGGGUAGGCCCCCUCGUAUAGGCUGCCCAGCCUUGCCCUUAGCCCAGACAAGGUAGGCCUAGCAGCAUGCAUGGCUGCCUGAAUUUCACCUAGUUUUGAUUAUUUUUUUGUUUUGUUUAUAUUUUACUUUUCUAAGCCUAAAGUAGUAUUAUGUAUUUAUGGAAUGACUGUAUAAUUAGUACUAUAAUGCAAUUUUUAAUGACCUUUGUUAUUCUUUUUUCUUAAAAUAAAUAAAAAUAGCAUAAAUAAGAUGAAUAAAUUUAGCGAUGACGUCAUCGGCCGAAUGUUCGUAAAAUAGAAGGUUCAUAAAUGAGAAGCUUGUAAAUGGGAAGGUCGACUGUAGGCCUAAAGUAAGGCAAAUAAGCCUAGGCCCAGUACAUUUUUUAGAGACGAGGUUACCUGCUUCCACUCACAGUGCCCUAGCAAUCAAACAGCGUUCUGAGUGCUAGGUGACAGAUUGUCCCAUUUUCAAAAUUUACCGUAAUUGUUCUGUAAGCAUCGUGAAAUGUCUCUUUUAGUUUAAAAUAAAUAUAAAAUAGCAUCUAUCUAGACAAGUGCCUGCUUAAGGACAAAACCCUUAUAGGCCUAUAAUAAAUGAAUAUUAUUAUUACAUAUAGGCCUAAUUUAUUUUUUAACUGCCCAUUCGCAUUAUGCAUGGAAGGAGGGAGGACCUUAUUUAUUUUUCAGAAAAUAAACAUAACAAGCAAAAAAAACAUGAAACCAAACAGAGUUGAAAAAGAAAACGUCAUAAUUUAUAAUGCAAAAACGAUCAUAAUAGGCCUAAUAAUAAUUUAUGGGCUAAUCUUGUGAUCCAUAAUGUUAUAAAAAGACAAUUACACGCCCGUGCUUUGAACAAACGUCCCUCGAAUAAACAACCCCUCGAAAAGGCCAUUUGGAAUAAACGCCCCUGGGCGUUUAAUUUCCCUUCAAAUAAACGCGCCCCCCACCCCAUAAGUAACUAUGGACGGAUGAAAUGGAAGCAUCAUCAUUUUUUAUAAGCCAUGUAAAAACACCUAGCUAGGCCUAGGCAUUAGGCCUACGAAAUUUUUUCAAAGAAAUUUGCUAAAAAUAUUACUGUAAUUUGCCUACAGUAUCAAAUUACAUUACCAAUGUGAUCUAAAAUUUUGGGCCAUAAAGACUCCCUCUGAAUUUUUCAACCACCACAAAAUUUCAACCACCAUACAUAAAGAUGUAUCUGCUUAGCCUAGAAACAUUAUGCGAGUAACCAUAGCAGUGCGCAAUCUAUGUCUACAGUAGUUGUCCUAGUUGUCUGAUGAAGUCCUAAUCAAUAUGCCCAGUGAUUGGCCUACAAGUCAAGCAGUUUCAUUAUCAUUGAUUCUGUGAGGAAGAAAACUGAAAAAUUAUGUGAUACAGUAAUACUAAAUUUUGAAAUGCCAAAAUUAAAGUUCAAAGCUUAUUCUAUCGGUCAUGUAGUAGUGAAUACAAUAUGAAAAUUUGCUUUUCCAGUACAAUGAAUAAAAGUAUAAUAUACUAAAAUAUAAAUAUGCAUACAGUAGGACAGAUUGAAAACACAAUGAAAAUAUGAAAAAGAAAAUAGAGCCAAAAAAUGACUAUGAAACAAAUCUUUCAUUUAACAUCUUAAUUUUGCACAAUGGAAUAAAUGAGUUUAUGUGUCUAUUUUUGUUUGUUACUGAGGUAACUGUUACAGUUCUGAAGGAUCUGCUUAAACUAUGUGAAGUGGGUGGUUAUUAACACUGAUUUUAUUUCAUAGUUAUGUUCGAUGCAAACUGAGAUCCUGACAAUGCGCAUGCGUAGUUCCCGGCAUAUACAACGACCACGUUUGAGCGGUAACCACUCAGAGUUACCCUUGACAGAUAAAAAUAAGUUUGCUUCUAAGUCAAGGUGAAGCCUGGAUAGGCCUAUACAAUAAUAGUAACUACUAUUGUAUAUUUGUUUUUCGAGAAUUCCGAGAAUGAGUGAAACUCAAGGGGCAACCCCUACUAAGGACGGAAUUUCGAUCUCGAAAACAGCCUACUUCUACAGACCCAGGCCAGACGAGCCAGCAGGCGCGAACGGUGGAGCCUGAGGUUGACAAGUUCUCCGCAAAAGGUUGGAAACCCACCGCGAAACAGCCCUCAAACCGUAGGCCUAACGCUGACACUGACAACAGAAUCAAGGCUUUAGAAAAAGCCAGUCAGCAAACAGCUUGCUUAUGCAGCUAAUUGAGAAUGUAAUUUCUACGAAUCCUGCUAGACCUAGCACUAGCAAUGUCAAUGCUGUUGAUAAUGACGACACACUGUCAUCAUAGCUUGGGCCUAGGCCUAGGCAGCGAGUCUGCUAUUGACGAUAAUGUUAAUAUUUAUGCGACUGAUCAUGAGGAGGAACAGAAUGCCUCUGCCAUAAUUAUUGGUGAUGUGAAACCACCAGGAUUUGCAGCACACUUUGCUGCCACUGAUAAAGCUGGGCCACAUAUCAGUGAUAGUAUGGCAGCUAGUGUUACUUGUUGCAUUCACCGAUUAAUGAGACAGUCAUGACAGAACUGUGCAAAACAUAUUGUUGCCCAGAAAAUACUAAAGCAUUGAUUGUCUCAAAAGUAAACCCAACAAUCUGGGAUAGUAUAUCACCUAAAGCUAGGUCUAUGGACUUGAAGAUUCAAAGGGUCCAAAAACCUUUAAUCAAAGGAAUUUUAGCGAUGAUCAGAGCUCUGGGCCAUCGAACCGAAGACCCUGUAACAUAAGAGACUAUGGCAUUGUUAGCAAAUGCUAAUUAUGAAAUUCUUGCUUUAAACAGACGAUAUGCAUGUUUGUGUAAAGCAAGGUUGUGUACGCAUAAACCAAAUGAAUAUCUAUUUGGUGACCUUGGUAAGACUGUGAAAUUACUGGAUGAUGAGUGAAAGGCUACAUCAGGCUUGUUUGCAGCUAAUAGCUCCCAGCAGUAUAAAUGCUUGACAAGAUACAGUCCAUACCCAAAACCAGCUUUUCAAAACAGAGUGGAAACAUUUUUUAGCCCCAAGAGGUUGACGACCAGCUGCAUCGUUGACCGCAGUACACCAGCAGAAAGCAUACCAUCAAAUGAAACAGGAUCAAAAUCAGAACAAGCACCAGAAAAGAUUAUCAGGGAAGCAAUAGGAGACAUCCCACAGGCCACUAAGGACAUCAUAAUGAGAUCGUGGAGAAAAUCUUCAAGAGACCAGUAUGCUGUUUAUAUCAGAAAGUGGAUGUUAUUUACAGACAACAAACCCUUUCAGUCAGACAUAAAAAUGAUCUUGAAUUUUAUGAAACCUCACAAAGCUUUUCUACAGUUAAUUCAGCAAGAUGUGCAUUAUCUUUCUUGAUUCUUAACAAUGGACAAACAGUAGGACCACACCCACUUGUAAGUUGCUUCGUGAGGGGUGUUUUCAACUUGAAACCACCACGGAGUAGGUAUAGUAAAAUUUGGAACGUCCACUGGGUAGUCUUUGACUAUCUGAGGACUUGGCAUCCCAUAGAGAGAUUGAGCUUAAAACAAUUAACAUUAAAGCUCUGCAUUCUAAUAGCAAUAAUAUCUACACGGAGAUGCCAAACUCUUCAUCUUUUGCGUAUCAGUAAUAUGGAUUUAAAAGAGGACCAAGUCAUUUUUUAUGUUAAUGACUUAUUAAAGCAGAGCAGGCCAGGAAAUACUGGUAUAAUGUUGACACUUAUUAGGCAAAUAACCCUGAGGAGAGAUUAUGUGUAAUUACACUGCUUAAAGAGUACUUGAAACGUACUGAGAGCUUGAGGGGUGAUAUCACCCAACUUUUUGUUAGCUAUCGCAAGCCAUUCCAACCUGUAUCAAGAGAAACAAUUUCACGGUGGAUAAAAUAUGUUCUUAAGCUUGCAGGUAUUGACUCCAUGAUAUUUAAGGCACAUUCGACGAGAGCAGCUGCCAUGUCGGCAGCAAAAGAAUCUGGAGUACCAAUUCAUGACAUAAUUAAAACUGCAGGAUGGACCAAUGAGAAAACUUUUAGAAACUUAUGAUAAACCUAUUCACUAAAAAAAAAAGAAAAAAAAACCAAAAAAAAAAAACCUGUUGGAUGUUCUUACUACUGUGUUUUAAUGACAGUAGUACCAUUUCUAUUGUACUAUACACUAUGGUGUACACAAUACUGUAUUGUUAUGUUUUAUCGAGUACCCUAGUUGUUUAAUGGGACAUACUAGCACUUGAAAUAAAACACAGGAUACAACUUAAAGUGUUGGUUAUGGUUUAUUGUAUCUAGAGCAAACAUGGCACCAGAGAUGGCUUUAAAUGUCUUAGUUUGCACCGAACGUAACUAUGAAAUGAAAUAGAAAGAUUAAACUAGAACUUACUUGUUCGAAGUUUGAUCACUAUUUUAUGAAUAAUAGUGAGUGAGGUGUAAACUGCCCUCCUCACCCGCCCUUUAUAUUAAGUGUAGCUUGCCAUAGUUGGGCUGAAAUGAUGCAUGUACAUUACAGUACUAAUCGGUGCAUUCAAAUAUGCUGGAAAAUACGCAUGCGCAUCGUCGGGAUCCCAGUUUACUCCUCACCCACUAUUAUUCAUAAAAUAGUGAUCAAACUUCGAACAGGUAAGUUCUCGUUUAAUCUUUCUAUUACAUUAUACAUUUUAUUUAACAUAGCAGCUUCAAUAAUUUAAUGGUUUUAGUUAUGUUGAAAGGCUUUCAUAUGAAUUAACAGUAUGAAAGAAGUAGUAUAAAAUGAAUAUCUGUGACAACACAGUCUGAAAGUUAAUUAAUUUUUUAGCAUACUAUUCCUAACAGUAACAACAAUCGUUUCUCAUUUAUUUUCAUACCUUAAUUUCAUUCUAAUCUAAAACUACUAUUCCAGUGAUUGAAAUUACUAAUGGGGUGUGCUAAAUCAUGGGUAAAAUAUAUUUAGUCAGAUGUUUACCACUUUCCCUCAUCUUAUCUUAUUGUUAAUUUAAAAAUGACAGGCAUAAUCAUUCCUCAACACCCUUGCCUCUUUCUUUCCUGUCUCGGGCUACGAUCAAUUAAAAUUCUGUAAUACAGUUUUUACUAAGAAACCUACCCAACUUAAAUAAACUUCCUAAUACUUUAUUGAAAUAUUAAUAAAAAGCAGAAAUAGUCCAUCGACCCUACAAAUUGUGGUCAUCUCAUAUUAAUUGUUACUGUUAACAUUUUAUGUAAACUUUCAAUGUUUGGGUUUUUAAAAAAAAGAUUACUAUAUUUUUAGUUCCUUUGUGACCUUAGGUCGCAGAGGAACUAUUGGGA